UCUUGAACUCCUGACCUCAGGUGAUCCCCCUGCCUCAGCCUCCCAAAGUGCUGGGAUUACAGGCGUGAGCCACCGUGCUCGGCCUUGAACCAAGGUUUCUAAGAUGCUCUUAGCCUCCUUGGAUCUGGCCUAGCCCACCUUUCCAUCUUAGCUUUUCUGCACAACCGCCCACAGCUAGCUCAGCCUACGCCUCAGCCAAUCUGGUUCCCGACGAUGCAGAGCCGGCAUUGGCUGCAGAAGCCAGGCCUAGUCCUGUCCAGGGCCCCCUGGCCGCAGACAAAUGCUACAGACACGGCUCGUAGCACAUGGUUCUCUUUAUUGUGAUGCUCAGUGGAAAACAUCUGUAAACCAGCUUACUGUAGUGGUGACAGCUGCAACACAUGCUAAGGCACUUUUAUUAUAUAAAAAAGGGGGUAGGGUGGGAGUUUCACUCACUCCUUUGUGACAGCAACUGGGACCUGAAUUCAGAGCUUUGUAGGAAUACAAGUAAAUUCGGCAACCAGUGUAGACCAGUGAGGACGAGCUACUCUCUUCUA
This 536-nucleotide long non-coding RNA is filed under the name Homo sapiens (human). RNAcentral describes it as "HSALNT0277495". Lineage: Eukaryota; Metazoa; Chordata; Mammalia; Primates; Hominidae. The record is from RNAcentral.